Asparagus officinalis (garden asparagus) is the source of this 1209-nucleotide RNA transcript. It is a transcript of the gene named actin-depolymerizing factor, with no coding region annotated. The record is from RefSeq and is a predicted model, not a curated record. Lineage: Eukaryota; Viridiplantae; Streptophyta; Magnoliopsida; Asparagales; Asparagaceae. The transcript is spliced from 9 exons.
UAUAAACCUCAGCCUCCCCAUUUUCUCUCUUCACCUCUCUCUCUCUCUCUCUCUCUCUCUCUCUCUGUGAAAUCUAGGAAGAGCAGCCAGCCAUGUCUUUUAGAAUGUCGAAUGCAUCGUCGGGCAUGGGAGUAGCUGAUCACAGCAAGAUGACCUUCCUCGAGCUGAAGAGGAAGAAGUUGCAUCGAUACGUGGUAUUCAAAAUCGACGAGAAGAAGAAGGAGGUUGUCGUGGAGAAGACGGGAGGCCAGGGAGAGUGCUACGACGAUUUCACCGCCUCUUUGCCGGAGAGCGAUUGCCGAUAUGCCGUCUAUGACUUUGAUUUCGUCACCGACGAGGGUUGCCAGAAGAGCAAGAUCUUUUUUGUUGCAUGGUCUCCUUCAGUCUCUCGUAUUCGUUCCAAGAUGUUGUAUGCUACAUCCAAGGAUAGGUUCCGCCGUGAGCUUGACGGCAUUCACUAUGAGAUCCAAGCCACUGAUCCUACAGAGAUGGAUCUGGAAGUGCUCAGAGAACGUGCAUACUAAAAACUACCGAGCCGCACAAACAUUUUUCAUCAGAACAGACUACUGGAUUUGUGUCUUCUGUCCUCUGCUAUUGCUGGCAAUCUACAGUCAUUCUCUGGGCAAUAGCUCGUAUUAUAAAUAAAUCUCUACAAGGUAGAAGGCUAAAAGGAGGCAGCCACAUUCAGGAUAAAAGCACAAGAUCGUAAUGGGCCUGCUUAACUUCAAAGUUAUAUCCUGCUUUUAUAAGGGAUGAGGCAAAAUAUUGUGGCAGCUUUACUCCACUUUUGACUGUAAUGCGCUAACACCAUAAGAUUCUCACCGUGGGGUCACAAGACGAAUGAACAUAAAAAAUUGGAAAUUAUUUGAAAAUGAAAGGCUAUUGUCCACAGGAAACUUUCAAGUCUUUCACGUUUCCUUUAUUGGCUAUGAAUUUUAGGUUGUGAGCAUUAUCCAUUACCCAUAGGGUAUUCUUCCUGGCUAUUGUCCACAGAAGCUUACCAGUCUCAUGUGUUUUUUUUUUGGGCUAUGAACUUUCCAGGGUUAAGAAAUUGGGAGCCUUAAAGCCUUCGUUUCUUUCAUUCUCCGACGGUUACCCUUCACCUCCGGCAACGCCCUCCCACUUUCUUAAACCAUUAAUUGCCAACGAUGAGUACCCGAUGCCCUAAGCCCUCAUCAUCACCGCACCUCCUCUGCCAUCAUCUCCUCA